RNAcentral lists this ribosomal RNA (403 nucleotides) under uncultured bacterium. RNAcentral describes it as "bacterial SSU rRNA". It matches the Rfam family "Bacterial small subunit ribosomal RNA", at positions 355 to 775 of the family's 1533-position model. The record is from RNAcentral.
UGGGGAAUAUUGCACAAUGGGGGAAACCCUGAUGCAGCGACGCCGCGUGGAGGAUGACGGCCUUCGGGUUGUAAACUCCUUUAGUCAGGGACAAUGGUGAUGGUACCCGACGAAUAAGCCACGGCUAAUUCUGUGCCAGCAGCCGCGGUAAGACAGAGGUGGCGAGCGUUGUUCGGAAUUACUGGGCUUAAAGGGCGCGUAGGCGGUGGUGUAAGUCUGGGGUGGAAUGCUACAGCUCAACUGUAGAGCUGCCUUGGAAACUGCAUUACUUGAGUCGGUGAGGGGAAGGCGGAAUUCCUGGUGUAGCGGUGAAAUGCGUAGAUAUCAGGAGGAAGGUCUGUGGCGAAGGCGGCCUUCUGGCACUUGACUGACGCUGAGACGCGAAAGCGUGGGGAGCAAACAG